This 274-nucleotide ribosomal RNA is filed under the name uncultured bacterium. RNAcentral's name for it is "partial 16S ribosomal RNA". It matches the Rfam family "Bacterial small subunit ribosomal RNA", at positions 523 to 796 of the family's 1533-position model. The record is from RNAcentral.
AUACGGAGGGUGCAAGCGUUACUCGGAAUCACUGGGCGUAAAGCGCGCGCAGGCGGCUAUUUAAGUUGGAUGUGAAAGCCUAUGGCUCAACCAUAGAACUGCAUCCAAAACUAUUUAGCUAGAGUGUGGGAGAGGAAGAUGGAAUUAGUUGGGUAGGGGUAAAAUCCGUAGAGAUAACUAGGAAUACCAAAAGCGAAGGCAAUCUUCUGGAACACUACUGACGCUGAGGCGCGAAAGCGUGGGGAGCAGACAGGAUUAGAUACCCUAGUAGUCC